This 495-nucleotide ribosomal RNA is filed under the name uncultured bacterium. RNAcentral describes it as "bacterial SSU rRNA". It matches the Rfam family "Bacterial small subunit ribosomal RNA", at positions 30 to 525 of the family's 1533-position model. The record is from RNAcentral.
AUUGAACGCUGGCGGCAUGCCUUACACAUGCAAGUCGAACGGUAACAGGUCUUCGGAUGCUGACGAGUGGCGAACGGGUGAGUAAUACAUCGGAACGUGCCCGAUCGUGGGGGAUAACGAAGCGAAAGCUUUGCUAAUACCGCAUAAGAUCUACGGAUGAAAGCAGGGGACCGCAAGGCCUUGCGCGAACGGAGCGGCCGAUGGCAGAUUAGGUAGUUGGUGGGAUAAAAGCUUACCAAGCCGACGAUCUGUAGCUGGUCUGAGAGGACGACCAGCCACACUGGGACUGAGACACGGCCCAGACUCCUACGGGAGGCAGCAGUGGGGAAUUUGGACAAUGGGCGAAAGCCUGAUCCAGCCAUGCCGCGUGCAGGAUGAAGGCCUUCGGGUUGUAACUGCUUUGUACGGAACGAAAGACUCUGGUUAAUACCUGGGUCCAUGACGGUACCGUAAGAAUAAGCACCGGCUAACUACGUGCCAGCAGCCGCGGUAAUA